RNAcentral lists this ribosomal RNA (253 nucleotides) under uncultured bacterium. RNAcentral's name for it is "partial 16S ribosomal RNA". It matches the Rfam family "Bacterial small subunit ribosomal RNA", at positions 524 to 776 of the family's 1533-position model. The record is from RNAcentral.
UACAUGUGGGGCAAGCGUUGUUCGGAAUUACUGGGCAUAAAGGGUGCGUAGGCGGUUUGUUAAGUCACAGGUGAAAGUUUUCGGCCCAACCGGAAAAUUGCCUGCGAUACUGGCGAACUUGAGUGCGUGAGGGGUUGGGGGAACGAGCAGUGUAGCGGUGAAAUGCGUAGAUAUUGCUCGGAAGGCCGGAGCCGAGGGGGCCCAACUGGUGCGCAACUGACGCUCAUGUGCGAAAGCGUGGGGAGCGAACGGG